RNAcentral lists this non-coding RNA (27 nucleotides) under Gallus gallus (chicken). Lineage: Eukaryota; Metazoa; Chordata; Aves; Galliformes; Phasianidae. RNAcentral also lists the same sequence under 4 other names. The record is from RNAcentral.
UAGCUGCCUUCCAAGCAGUUGACCCGG